Ictalurus punctatus (channel catfish) is the source of this 434-nucleotide long non-coding RNA. The record is from Ensembl. Lineage: Eukaryota; Metazoa; Chordata; Actinopteri; Siluriformes; Ictaluridae.
GACCCUGUAAAGUCAUCUGUGAGGCCCUUGUUGUGGCUGUAUGUAGGGUUGCUCUGCCCCAAUUCGACGUGCUGCACCGGGAUUUGAGAGGAGAAGAUUGUGUGUCGAAGACCGAUAUGUCGGGAGGAAUGUGGAUGUGUGGUUUGUCUGUGAUUGUGUGCAUACUAUUGAGUAGCGAAUAUUUUUCCCGGUGUUUGAGUGAGAUCGCUUGCUAGUUUUAUUGUGUGUGAGUGAAGAAGUGAGUGGUAGGAUCUUGUGUUGUCCCAUUCCCCCGUUUUGUCUUGUGUUGUGGCUGAGUGUAUGCCUCUAUUAUAAAUAUCAUUAUUAUUAUUAUUAUUAUUAUUAUUAUUAUUAUGGCUAGGUAAUUUAAAUUGAUACGGGACAAGAUAGUGACUGUUCUGUUUAUUAUUUUGGCCUUGCCCAGCCCUGAAGAG